RNAcentral lists this ribosomal RNA (446 nucleotides) under uncultured bacterium. RNAcentral describes it as "partial 16S ribosomal RNA". It matches the Rfam family "Bacterial small subunit ribosomal RNA", at positions 338 to 795 of the family's 1533-position model. The record is from RNAcentral.
CCUACGGGUGGCAGCAGUCGAGAAUCAUUCACAAUGGGGGAAACCCUGAUGGUGCGACGCCGCGUGGGGGAAUGAAGGUCUUCGGAUUGUAAACCCCUGUCAUGUGGGAGCAAAUUAAAAAGAUAGUACCACAAGAGGAAGAGACGGCUAACUCUGUGCCAGCAGCCGCGGUAAUACAGAGGUCUCAAGCGUUAUUCGGAAUCACUGGGCGUAAGGCGUGCGUAGGCUGUUUCGUAAGUCGUGUGUGAAAGGCGCGGGCUCAACCCGCGGACGGCACAUGAUACUGCGAGACUAGAGUAAUGGAGGGGGAACCGGAAUUCUCGGUGUAGCAGUGAAAUGCGUAGAUAUCGAGAGGAACACUCGUGGCGAAGGCGGGUUCCUGGACAUUAACUGACGCUGAGGCACGAAGGCCAGGGGAGCGAAAGGGAUUAGAUACCCUAGUAGUC